AUGGAAAUAGAAUGUCCUCCAGCAUCCAAGUGUAAACACAGAUCUUUAUUAUGCAAACAUGGGUCCAAAUACAAAACACAGAACGUUUUGGGCUAUUACAUGCCCUUCAUCAAGCAUGAAGAAGGGCAUGUAAAUAGCCUGAAAUGUUCUGUUUUGUAUUUGGACCCAUGUUUGCCUUAUAAAGGUCUAUGUUUACAUUUGGAAGCUGGAGGACAUUGUUUUUCCAUGAAAGCAUCAUAUGACCGCUCAGCGGAAAUUUCAAGCCCAUUUGUCUAUCCCAUCAUUUCUCCUCCAGUAGAAGGCAGUGCUACUGUUACCUUUGGCUGCCUGGCAGACAGCUUUUUACCCCCACCUGCAGAAAUAUAUAUUUCUGGGGAUGUGGUAUCUGGGACAAAGAAUUUCCCUGCAACACUGGGCACGUCUGGGAAAUACAGUAUGAGCAGCCAAGCCACAGCCACAUCGGCAAACUGGAAGACAAAUACCUACCAAUGUAGGGUGACUCACAAUAAUGUCAACAUCACAAAGACCAUCCCUAAGGGUUGGAAUCCCACUCCAUCAGCUAAUAUAAAUGUGAAGCUGAUGCAGGCCUCCUGCCCUGAAAGUGAUAAGUCUGGGCAAGUUAGACUGGUAUGUCAGAUUUCCAGUCUCACCUCAGAGGAAGUGGAAGUAAAAUGGUUUAUCAAUGAUAAAGAGCAGUCUUUUCAGCAGGAGAAGAUAUUAUUGGGGAAAACCAGUAACAACUUGUAUAACACAAACAUCAAGGUGAAUGUCAGCCAGAGUGUGUGGAACAAUGGUGCUAAAUUCAAGUGCCAAGCUAACGAUACAAAAACUAACAAAGUGGCAGAGAAUAGCAUCAGGAAAUGUUCAGAAAGCUUUAACUGUCUGGGAAUAAAUGUAUUCAUGAUUCCACCAUCGAUUGAGGAAAUAUAUGUUCAUCGUACUGCCCCUGUAAGAUGUUUGGCCAACAAUAUUCCCAAUGACAAUAGCAUUAAAUUCACCUGGACAUAUCCAAACAGCAAUGCAGAGUUUACAACAGAGGACCCUAUUUUUAACACCAAUGGCACUAUUAGUGUGAUCAGUAUUCUUACUGCAUCAACUGAAGCAUGGAACAGUGGAACUGAGUUUACCUGUACAUUCACCUAUUCCUCACUGCCCUCUCCAGUCGUCAAAACUAUCAAGAAGAAUACAGAUUUUAAAUUGAUUGCCCCAAGAGUCUACAUAUUCCCUCCUGCACCUGAGGAGCUAGCCUUAAAAGAAGAUGUCACCAUCACAUGCCUGGCCUCUGGUUUUUACCCAAUGGACAUCUACAUGGGCUGGAACCUAAAUGAAUCUGAGGUGUCCAAACAGUUAUAUGUCAACACUGACCCCAAGAGUGAGCUUGACCAGAAAACCUUCUUCAUGAUCAGCAAAAUGACUGUCAACCACUCUGUUUGGGACUCCGGAACUCCCUGUACUUGCGUUGUGGCGCAUGAAGGUCUCCAACUAAACGUCACCCAAAGAACCAUUGACAAAUCUAAUGAUUGUAAAUACACCAUUUUUGCAGAAGGGGAUGGAGAAGAGAUAGAACAACCACCAGAGGAAUCCUUAGAUAUUUCAACAACAUUCAUAUCCCUGUUUAUUGUGAGUCUGAUGUACAGUGUGACUGUCACUCUAUUCAGGGUAAAAUGAAGUUCCAUUUCCAAUACUGUUCUCCACCAAUAAUAGAGUAUUGACAACAAGUGCACCCCCAUAAUAUGAUCCGCUCAUCACAUCACUUGUUCUUCAAUCUCAAGAGGAACACACCAAACCCCAUACCAGUUAAAAUGAGGAUGUGGCACAACAAUGAUUUCAAAGACAGCACCCUAUGUAUUCCUCACAAUCGACCUGUAUGAAUCACAGGAAUUACAGGAAAAUAAUGCUGGUCAAUGAGAUAUAUCAGAUCCUAAUCAUAUAUGUUAUUUGGGGUCAACAAAUA
Non-coding RNA from Bombina bombina (fire-bellied toad), 1954 nucleotides. NCBI's taxonomy places the organism in Eukaryota, Metazoa, Chordata, Amphibia, Anura, Bombinatoridae. The record is from the annotation of a RefSeq genome assembly.